RNAcentral lists this ribosomal RNA (253 nucleotides) under uncultured bacterium. RNAcentral describes it as "partial 16S ribosomal RNA". It matches the Rfam family "Bacterial small subunit ribosomal RNA", at positions 524 to 776 of the family's 1533-position model. The record is from RNAcentral.
UACAGAGGUCUCAAGCGUUUGUUCGGAUUCAUUGGGCGUAAAGGGUGCGUAGGCGGCGCGGUAAGUCGGGUGUGAAAUCUCGGAGCUUAACUCGAAACUGCAUUCGAUACUGCCGUGCUUGAGGACUGGAGAGGAGACUGGAAUUUACGGUGUAGCGGUGAAAUGCGUAGAUAUCGUAAGGAAGACCAGUGGCGAAGGCGGGUCUCUGGACAGUUCCUGACGCUGAGGCACGAAGGUCAGGGGAGCAAACGGG